This 84-nucleotide transfer RNA is filed under the name Pseudobutyrivibrio sp. Its description in RNAcentral is "tRNA-Leu". It matches the Rfam family "tRNA". From Rfam's summary of the family: Transfer RNA (tRNA) molecules are approximately 80 nucleotides in length. Their secondary structure includes four short double-helical elements and three loops (D, anti-codon, and T loops). Further hydrogen bonds mediate the characteristic L-shaped molecular structure. tRNAs have two regions of fundamental functional importance: the anti-codon, which is responsible for specific mRNA codon recognition, and the 3' end, to which the tRNAs corresponding amino acid is attached (by aminoacyl-tRNA synthetases). tRNAs cope with the degeneracy of the genetic code in two manners: having more than one tRNA (with a specific anti-codon) for a particular amino acid; and 'wobble' base-pairing, i.e. permitting non-standard base-pairing at the 3rd anti-codon position. The record is from RNAcentral. Lineage: Bacteria; Bacillati; Bacillota; Clostridia; Lachnospirales; Lachnospiraceae.
GCAGAAGUGGCGGAAUCGGCAGACGCGCUGGCUUCAGGUGCCAGUGGUGGCAACACCGUGAGGGUUCAAGUCCCUUCUUCUGCA